RNAcentral lists this ribosomal RNA (496 nucleotides) under uncultured bacterium. RNAcentral describes it as "bacterial SSU rRNA". It matches the Rfam family "Bacterial small subunit ribosomal RNA", at positions 16 to 507 of the family's 1533-position model. The record is from RNAcentral.
AUCAUGGCUCAGAUUGAACGCUGGCGGCAGGCCUAACACAUGCAAGUCGAGCGGUAAAGAGAAGCUUGCUUCUCUUGAGAGCGGCGGACGGGUGAGUAAUGCCUAGGAAUCUGCCUGGUGGUGGGGGAUAACGUUCGGAAACGGACGCUAAUACCGCAUACGUCCUACGGGAGAAAGCGGGGGAUCUUCGGACCUCGCGCCAUUAGAUGAGCCUAGGUCGGAUUAGCUAGUUGGUGAGGUAAUGGCUCACCAAGGCGACGAUCCGUAACUGGUCUGAGAGGAUGAUCAGUCACACUGGAACUGAGACACGGUCCAGACUCCUACGGGAGGCAGCAGUGGGGAAUAUUGGACAAUGGGCGAAAGCCUGAUCCAGCCAUGCCGCGUGCAGGAUGAAGGCCUUCGGGUUGUAAACUGCUUUUGUACGGAACGAAAAGACUCUGGUUAAUACCUGGGGUCCAUGACGGUACCGUAAGAAUAAGCACCGGCUAACUACGCG